This 429-nucleotide ribosomal RNA is filed under the name Bacteroidota bacterium. Its description in RNAcentral is "Bacteroidetes bacterium partial 16S ribosomal RNA". It matches the Rfam family "Bacterial small subunit ribosomal RNA", at positions 355 to 776 of the family's 1533-position model. The record is from RNAcentral. Lineage: Bacteria; Pseudomonadati; Bacteroidota.
UAGGGAAUCUUCGGCAAUGGGGGGAACCCUGACCGAGCAACGCCGCGUGAGUGAAGAAGGUUUUCGGAUCGUAAAGCUCUGUUGUUAAGGAAGAACGAGUGUGAGAAUGGAAAGUUCAUGCUGUGACGGUACUUAACCAGAAAGGGACGGCUAACUACGUGCCAGCAGCCGCGGUAAUACGUAGGUCCCGAGCGUUGUCCGGAUUUAUUGGGCGUAAAGCGAGCGCAGGCGGUUAGAAAAGUCUGAAGUGAAAGGCAGUGGCUCAACCAUUGUAGGCUUUGGAAACUGUUUGACUUGAGUGCAGAAGGGGAGAGUGGAAUUCCAUGUGUAGCGGUGAAAUGCGUAGAUAUAUGGAGGAACACCGGUGGCGAAAGCGGCUCUCUGGUCUGUAACUGACGCGGAGGCUCGAAAGCGUGGGGAGCGAACAGG